Molecule: ribosomal RNA, 254 nt
Filed under: uncultured bacterium
Lineage: Bacteria
Description: partial 16S ribosomal RNA
Rfam family: Bacterial small subunit ribosomal RNA
Source: RNAcentral
UACGGGGGGAGCAAGCGUUGUUCGGAUUUACUGGGCGUAAAGGGCGCGUAGGCGGCCUCCGCAAGUCAAUUGUGAAAUCUCCUGGCUUAACUCGGAAAGGUCAACUGAUACUGCGGGGCUAGAGUGCGGAAGGGGCAACUGGAAUUCUUGGUGUAGCGGUGAAAUGCGUAGAUAUCAAGAGGAACACCUGCGGCGAAGGCGGGUUGCUGGGCCGACACUGACGCUGAGGCGCGAAAGCUAGGGGAGCGAACGGG